Molecule: long non-coding RNA, 1051 nt
Organism: Perca fluviatilis (European perch)
Lineage: Eukaryota; Metazoa; Chordata; Actinopteri; Perciformes; Percidae
Exons: 3
Source: RefSeq, a predicted model, not a curated record
GAGUUGAAUGCAAUGCAAAUCCUGCAAAUUCACCAACCUCAAUGAAGCUGUUCUCCUGAAGCACUAGGCCUACUGUCUGUAUCACAGAGGCAGGCAGAGUUCUAUCGGAUCACCAACAAGAACCUACUAGACAACUUUAGAGCAGCCAUUAAUCAGCACACUCUAGGACUGCUUGGACUCUAUCGGGCUAGGAGGCCAGCUUUUCCGUCUGAGAUGGAUCAACUCCUUAAGGGACUGGAUGAAGAGACCAAUGACAUCACAGCACACACAGGCUGCAGCCUUGAAGGGCCUUCCUUUGUAUAUCUGUGAAAGUCAUGAGAAGCUGUUCAGGAGUUGUCUGGAUACUGACCCAUAAGAGGAGCAGACAAAGCCUCAUUGUGGGGAUACUUACUAUGGAGGAUGAUCAAAGUACGGCUCCGGCAAGUUGCAAAUGUAGCUGUGGUUCUAGAAGAAGACAUCGUCUUACAAGACCUCCCUGACCUGCUAACGGCCUUUGCUUUGCUCUUUGGGCUGAUAUGCCUCAAACAUUCAGUUUCCCAAGGAACUGAGGUACGCCUUCGAAACAUUUCAGAAGGUGUUAAGUAAUCAAAUCUUGCUGUCCUUUCUAAGUAUUUAAGUAAAAAAAUUAGAAUAUGUUAACUGACAUCCACAACUACUAAUGUUCAGUAGGGCUGCACGAUUCAGAAAAUGUCACGAUUCAAUAUCAAUUUUCGUAGGGCUGUGUUCGAUUGAAGAAAUUCUUAGUCGACUAACAUUCAACUCAUUCAACUGUAUCGACUAAUCGAUUAGUUGAUUUAAUCGACGAUCUGUAAAUCUGAGUUUCUCCCAAAAGAGUCAUGCAAAAGGAUGCAUAUAUUGAAUAAGAUAAUGCCUCCUUUGCAUAUAUUAAACACCAACAUUUCAGAAAACGUGUAAUACAACAAAUAACUGCCUUAAUGAAAGUUAUUAAAGUAGAUUUCACGGUGAUAUCUAUUAGGUAAAAUGUCAACCCUUAAUUCUUGUGUUUACCAGAGAUGUGCUCGUACGUUUCUUGGAAAUAAGUCAUUCAGCA